AGGAUAGAGGUUGCGGUUUUCUAUCACUAGUCUAAAUGUUUAAAGGUUGGUACCCGUUGUUUAGAUGAAAGGAGAAAUCGCCGAAGGAGUUUGCUACCAAUAAGCUCCUGGGUCAACAUAGAAUAUGUGUUGGACUGUCACAAUUUGUGGAGAGCUAUCAG
RNAcentral lists this non-coding RNA (161 nucleotides) under uncultured Fusobacterium sp. Its description in RNAcentral is "Lysine riboswitch". It matches the Rfam family "Lysine riboswitch aptamer". From Rfam's summary of the family: Riboswitches are metabolite binding domains within certain messenger RNAs that serve as precision sensors for their corresponding targets. Allosteric rearrangement of mRNA structure is mediated by ligand binding, and this results in modulation of gene expression. This family includes riboswitches that sense lysine in a number of genes involved in lysine metabolism, including lysC. The record is from RNAcentral. Lineage: Bacteria; Fusobacteriati; Fusobacteriota; Fusobacteriia; Fusobacteriales; Fusobacteriaceae.